UACGGACCGGACGAACGUUAUUCGGAAUCACUGGGCUUAAAGAGUACGUAGGCGGCUUGGCAAGUUGGGUGUGAAAUCCCUCGGCUCAACCGGGGAACUGCGCCCAAAACUGCCAGGCUUGAGGAAGGCAGAGGUGAGCGGAACUGAUGGUGGAGCGGUGAAAUGCGUUGAUAUCAUCAGGAACACCAGUGGCGAAGGCGGCUCACUGGGCCUUUUCUGACGCUGAGGUACGAAAGCUAGGGGAGCGAACGGG
RNAcentral lists this unclassified non-coding RNA (253 nucleotides) under uncultured Pirellulaceae bacterium. RNAcentral's name for it is "contains 16S-23S intergenic spacer region". It matches the Rfam family "Bacterial small subunit ribosomal RNA", at positions 524 to 776 of the family's 1533-position model. The record is from RNAcentral. Lineage: Bacteria; Pseudomonadati; Planctomycetota; Planctomycetia; Pirellulales; Pirellulaceae.